RNAcentral lists this unclassified non-coding RNA (499 nucleotides) under uncultured Diversispora. RNAcentral describes it as "SSU rRNA". It matches the Rfam family "Eukaryotic small subunit ribosomal RNA", at positions 591 to 1092 of the family's 1831-position model. Lineage: Eukaryota; Fungi; Glomeromycota; Glomeromycetes; Diversisporales; Diversisporaceae. The record is from RNAcentral.
CCAAUAGCGUAUAUUAAAGUUGUUGCAGUUAAAAAGCUCGUAGUUGAACUUCGGGGUUUACUUAUUGGUCAGGCUUAAUUGUCUGCACUGGUGAGAUGAAUCUCUACCUUCUGAGGAACUUUCAUGCCAUUUAUUUGGUGUGAUUGGAAAUCAGGACUGUUACUUUGAAAAAAUUAGAGUGUUUAAAGCAGGCUAACGUCUGAAUACAUUAGCAUGGAAUAAUGAAAUAGGACGGACUGAUUCUAUUUCGUUGGUUUCUAGGAUCACCGUAAUGAUUAAUAGGGAUAGUUGGGGGCAUUAGUAUUCAAUUGUCAGAGGUGAAAUUCUUGGAUUUAUUGAAGACUAACUACUGCGAAAGCAUUUGCCAAGAAUGUUUUCAUUAAUCAAGAACGAAAGUCAGAGGUUCGAAGACGAUCAGAUACCGUCGUAGUUCUGACCAUAAACGAUGUCGACUAGCGAUCCGCGGCCGUUGUUCAUAUGACUUCGCGGGCAGCCUUCG